Molecule: ribosomal RNA, 4509 nt
Filed under: Triticum aestivum (bread wheat)
Lineage: Eukaryota; Viridiplantae; Streptophyta; Magnoliopsida; Poales; Poaceae
Description: partial small subunit ribosomal RNA
Source: RNAcentral
AGGAAAAAUAGGAAUGGGAAAUAAUGAGUACAGUACUAUGUACUCCUAUUGAGUACGGAAAAGAUAGUCACAGGGUUUCUUUUUUUUUAUACUUCCUUACUUCCGUUUAACUACUUUACGCCUAGUUAAACUGUUUGAACUGACGUCCUUCUCUUGUUUUGGUCUAGCAAUCUCGACGUCUUGUGUAGAGGGCUGCUUGGUCUGUGCUUAAAUGACAUGACAUGGGUAUAAUAUAAAAUAUUCAUUAGCCCUCCCUCCCUCCUUUGUAUUGCGGAUGAAGACGAAUCUUCAAUCUUGAGUGUAGAUUGAAAAGUCACUGAACCAAUCUUCUUACUAACGAUAUUCCGUCGACGGAUACAAUCGUUUUUCAUGACUUUACUACUUCCAACACAUCGUGUAUGUCAUAGUAUCGUGUAUUCACGACAACAAACUGAUCACUACUAAUUUUCGUUUCACCAGACCAAGUUUACCUCGAAUAGGGUACAUUUCUCGUAUUCGGUCAUCCAGGUAUGAAAAGACCUGAUGUUACUCUUAUACAUGGUUAGAGUCCUUUCCUGUGACUACCUUGAACACGAACAAGUAUAAGAUAGGUGAAAUGUCAUCAUGUUUCCUGUCUUAUUUAACUGUCUUUUUAACACAAAGACGUGCAUUCUACAGUGAGAGGUUCUUCCGUUGUUCAUAGUCGUUAUUUUUUUUAUUGAAUUAACUAAGUAAAUUUGUUUCUAUGUGUAUGACAUAAGGAGAUUCUUGUAAUUUUAGUAACUAGUGUAUUGUACUUGGUCGUUGUGAUUUGAUUCAUGAAUCAUUGAUUCCAUUGUCUCUUCAACGUGUUUAUAAAGGUAGAGCCGUUUUACUCACUAAGCCUUUACAUAGAAAGUGCGAGGUUCGUCUAUCGUCUAUUAUACGGUUUUUUAUUGUAAAGUCUUUCUAUUUAACGAGGUCAACAUCCAUAAAUAAUACAUGUAUAUGGAAGAUGACUAGAUUACUCAUUUUAUACGUCGACUUCAAAGGUAUGUCUUUACGUCUCUUUCGAUUUCCUGAUCAAAGUAAUGACUCCCCCAUGUUCCAACUACAAUGAGUCGACAGUGUCCAACGAUAAUCAUGACUAUAAAAGUAAAACCAAUAAUAAUGGUUCUUAUUGAUUCCUGUCGUAGAAGACAGUCAACCCAAUUUCUAACAAGAAGACGACAAACAAGAUUCUACGAUCUAAGAUACAAAGGGGUAUAUUCCUCGGGGAGUGUCCCGUAACGAAUGGUUGGACUCUUCUGGUUUUCCCAUAGUUGUCCGAAUUCGAGUGUGCCUCUUGUCCUGACCAUAAGUAGAACAGUCAUCCCUUUAUGAGUUAUGUGUCAAAGUUGCACGUUGUCGUUUCUCCUUCCUUCGCUGACGUCUUGUUGUCUUCUACAUAGUGGUUGUAGUCCCGGGAUCACUCGAGAAGUGAUGAUCCUGCUGGAAAGGGUACCUCUCCGUAGACAAAGACGUGCCUCCUUCAUGCGUUCCUCUAAGGCCCGAUCAAGAGAGUUGGCUACGUUUUGGUUCCGACUUUACCUGUGGGCUCAAUGUAGUCGCUAAACAUCUACGCCAGUUAGUUAACCCGCCUCGUCUUUUUCGAUGAGGUUUUUGUCAGUACUCCGAAUACCCGUAAGGUCCUGAGUGGAACAUAGUAGACUUUUCGGUGGAAGUCUUUAUGUCCGAGUCAUUCUUGGAGGUUCGAGUUCAAUUGCAACCCUGUUUGUUCUUGUGGUAUCCUACACGUUAACAUCGACUACCGUACGGGCCUUGUUCACACGGUCGCUACUAGUUAUGUUUACAGUAAGGUGUCGGUCUCUUUUGAUACGUUUAACCACUUCGGGAUGUCUACGUUUAGCUCCACGUCUCUGUUAAUUUGCUUGUUGAGCUCCAUGUUGCCGUAGACGUUGAUGCCUAUCUUCGGGUUCCCUUCAUAGACGUCCGUCAAGAUCUCGUCCGUGUUCUCUCGGAACCUUUUGUCUUAAACCCAGGACGUUUGGACCUUCUACGUUUCUACUUUUAUAGUCUUGAUCAGAGUGUUCAUAGUUUGCUUACAAAGUCGUUACGUCAAUGUCUCUAUUUUCUUUCAAGUUCAUACGUGUCUGAUCUCGGUUCCGUUUAGGUCAAGUACCUUUCAAGUUGGUUGUUGACAAACUGACGUCGGCCUCCUAAGUAAUUACUCGUAUCUGAUGUGUCGGUACCUUACGAGUUUCGUAUACUACUAUCAAGUUAUAAAACGUCUUUCGUGAGAGGACUGGCACUCAUGGUCAAAAGGGAAUUAUCUUCGGAUUCGCUCGCAUUCUACCCAGUAAACGUGUUACACUUACUCAUGGUGUUUCGUCUCAAACCUUCACUUUCACUGUACCUCUAAGUUGUCCUUAUAUGAUGUGGAGUUUUCUUACCGUCUCCGUCGUGGUGGUCAAGUCGGAGUCCUUCGUUUCUUUCUCUACGCCUGUCUGAUAUAGAACUUCUUGGUUUGACGUUCUCUGUUAACCAACUUGUAAGUCCAAAACUCGUAGGUUCAAGACCCUUCUUUGAACUAGACUUGUGAGUUUUGUGACUACUACCACUAGUGCCCAUAUCCGUAAAACUAAAUUUACCGAAGUCGACCUCGACUUAACAAUUACUAUACGUUAUACUAACUUCGCUUCUUUACUCGUAUGUUUAUUAAAAAGGACCGUAAAAGUUGUGGUAAUAAACCACUAAUUUGACGCAUCCAGUUCUUUUUUAUGAUCAUGUGGUCUCAAGUUGGUAACUCAUAUCUUUGACUCUACAAUACCGAGUCGUCAAAUUUAGAGGUAAAGCUCUCCACAUUAUGUAUACUUAUCCUAUAGUUCAGGCAUUAUUAUUUUUUCCCUUAUCCCUACGUUAUAUCCUUGUCUUACGUCUUCCGUUUCUAUCGAUCUCUUGGUGGUUGGCUCAUUCGCAGUGUGAAUUAUGUCCAUUUGGUACCACUCUUUAUGAGUAGGUACAUUAUCAUAUUAAAGAGCCUUAAAUUCAUCAUUCUUAUCGUCCCUGAUGGUCUUGGAAUGGGAGGGUUUAUUGUACCAAUUUAGUUAAAUCAUUGUCUUCGAUAGGGCUGAAAGUCGAGUUGUGUCGAAUUUUCAAUUUUGUUUUGGCUUGUCAAGUAGUUAACUACGUGUGAAGUGCUUGUGUUGAUUAUAGAGUCUCUUCGCACACAUCUUAUUUCUACCUUCAUUAAGCAGGCGUCAGUAGACACGUGUAGUAAGUUGGUCGUAUAUUUCACUACAUAGACAAGCAGGUGUGUUGUAUUUGCUCAAAACUUCAUUUCAUGUAGCGUCGUGAAUAAACAUAUGGUAGUCGUAGUCCGUUCCGUUCUCAGUGAAUAACGUAUUAAGUUAAUUUUUGACGUUUACUUUCUCGUUUCGAUACAUAUUAGAACCCCACACUACACGUAGUGUUCACUAUAUUCUUCUGUACGUAGAUAAGGAAACAAGGAGAGGAAUAAGAGUUGAUAUGAACGGUGUUCACGUUCUCGUGACAUAAUAUCUCAUGAUAUACACUAUUGAUCUUUUGAUGACAUCAAAUAAUACCUCUCGUCAUUCGCGACCACAGUAGGUGAGUACGACGAUGAUGAUGAAGAACUAGGCCGCGUGGAAGAACCGCGGGGUCUGGAGGUAGGACGGGAACCGCGUCGGCGUCCCCCUCGCCUUCUACUCGUGCCUCGCCGGCAACCCCCCGCGGUAGAAGGACUCGAGGCGGAGCUCGAGGGCCACGAGGAGCGGCUCGAGCUGCUCCGCGCGCCGCCUCGGCCGCCGGCGCUCCUCGCAGAACCGCACCGGCGGCCCGCCGUCGUCGGACGGCGAGGGCGCGUGCGUGAGGAGGCAGAGCUCGACCUACAGCUUGAGCUGCCGGAACGCGUCCGGCGCCGUCGCCCCGGACGGCGUGAACGCGCGCACCACCGGGCGGCGGAGGGUGCGCUCGUCGGGGCGGUGCCGCCGCUGGCGCCGCGGCCGCGGCCGCCGCUUCCGGUGCAUGCUCAUUCCGAGGAGGCCCAUGACGGCGUGGUCCAGGCGCCGGAGCGCCCGGUCGUCGGACCGCAUCCCGCGCCGGUCCUUCCGGUCGCGCGGCUCGUGCCGGUCCUCCCGCUCGCGCAGCUCCCGCCGCCAGCCCCCGCCCAACAGCGUCUCGCUCCACUUAUCGAAAGGGGCGCUGCUACCGCUACUCCUCCUCCUCCUCCGACGCGCCGCCCCCGCCCGUGUGCCGCUCCCCCUCGGCGGCCGGCGGCGCCUCCGCGCCGCCGCCACGAGCUUCCGCGCCUCCUUGAGCUACUCCGACGCCGUCAGGCGGUACCGCCUCCGCCCCCGCUCCAGCUCCAUAGCCCUUACCUUAAACCCGCCUAGCCCUAGAUCCGCGGCCACACCCGACCGGCGCUCCCCUCGCUCGGCGGAGCGCAGCGCACACGCCCUAGACUAGCCGGACGCGGACACCACAAAAAAAACUGGGCCAACCACCCGCCGAGCGCAGCGGAGCCAGCGG